Molecule: ribosomal RNA, 488 nt
Filed under: uncultured bacterium
Lineage: Bacteria
Description: partial 16S ribosomal RNA
Rfam family: Bacterial small subunit ribosomal RNA
Source: RNAcentral
GACGAACGCUGGCGGCGUGCUUAACACAUGCAAGUCGAACGCGCCUGUCCUCUGGGUUUCUGGGGGGUGGGUGAGUGGCGAACGGGUGAGGAACACGUGAGUAACCUGCCCCCUUCUUCGGGAUAACGGUCUGAAAGGGCUGCUAAUACCGGGUAUUCACUGGUCUCCGCAUGGGGUCUGGUGGAAAGGUUUUUUUCUGGUGGGGGAUGGGCUCGCGGCCUAUCAGCUUGUUGGUGGGGUGAUGGCCCACCAAGGCUUUGACGGGUAGCCGGCCUGAGAGGGUGACCGGUCACAUUGGGACUGAGAUACGGCCCAGACUCCUACGGGAGGCAGCAGUGGGGAAUAUUGCACAAUGGGCGCAAGCCUGAUGCAGCGACGCAGCGUGAGGGAUGGAGGCCGUCGGGUUGUGAACCUCUUUCGCCCGUGGUCAAGCCGCGACGUGGGUCGUGGUGAGGGUAGUGGGUAAAGAAGCGCCGGCUAACUACGUG